Molecule: ribosomal RNA, 253 nt
Filed under: uncultured bacterium
Lineage: Bacteria
Description: partial 16S ribosomal RNA
Rfam family: Bacterial small subunit ribosomal RNA
Source: RNAcentral
UACGGAGGGGGCUAGCGUUGUUCGGAAUUACUAGGCGUAAAGAGCGCGUAGGCGGACCUGCAAGUCGGGGGUGAAAGCCCGAGGCUCAACCUCGGAACUGCCUUCGAUACUGCGGGUCUCGAGUCCGGGAGAGGUGAGUGGAAUUCCUAGUGUAGAGGUGAAAUUCGUAGAUAUUAGGAAGAACACCAGUGGCGAAGGCGGCUCACUGGCCCGGUACUGACGCUGAGGCGCGAAAGCGUGGGGAGCAAAUAGG